This 514-nucleotide ribosomal RNA is filed under the name uncultured bacterium. RNAcentral's name for it is "partial 16S ribosomal RNA". It matches the Rfam family "Bacterial small subunit ribosomal RNA", at positions 28 to 523 of the family's 1533-position model. The record is from RNAcentral.
GAUGAACGCUGGCGGCGUGCCUAAUACAUGCAAGUCGAGCGAACAGAUGAGAAGCUUACUUCUCUGAUGUUAGCGGCGGACGGGUGAGUAGCACGUGGGUAACCUACCUAUAAGACUGGGAUAACUCCGGGAAACCGGGGCUAAUACCGGAUAAUAUUUUGAACCGCAUAGUUCAAUAGUGAAAGACGGUUUCGGCUGUCACUUAUAGAUGGACCCGCGCCGUAUUAGCUAGUUGGUAAGGUAACGGCUUACCAAGGCGACGAUACGUAGCCGACCUGAGAGGGUGAUCGGCCAAACUGGAACUGAGACACGGUCCAGACUCCUACGGGAGGCAGCAGUAGGGAAUCUUCCGCAAUGGGCGAAAGCCUGACGGAGCAACGCCGCGUGAGUGAUGAAGGUCUUCGGAUCGUAAAACUCUGUUGUUAGGGAAGAACAAAUUUGUUAGUAACUGAACAAGUCUUGACGGUACCUAACAAGAAAGCCACGGCUAACUACGUGCCAGCCGCCGCAGAAA